GAUGAACGCUGGCGGCGUGCCUAAUACAUGCAAGUCGAGCGAACAGGCGAGGAGCUUGCUCCUCUGACGUUAGCGGCGGACGGGUGAGUAACACGUGGAUAACCUACCUAUAAGACUGGGAUAACUUCGGGAAACCGGAGCUAAUACCGGAUAAUAUAUUGAACCGCAUGGUUCAAUAGUGAAAGACGGUUUUGCUGUCACUUAUAGAUGGAUCCGCGCCGCAUUAGCUAGUUGGUAAGGUAACGGCUUACCAAGGCAACGAUGCGUAGCCGACCUGAGAGGGUGAUCGGCCACACUGGAACUGAGACACGGUCCAGACUCCUACGGGAGGCAGCAGUAGGGAAUCUUCCGCAAUGGGCGAAAGCCUGACGGAGCAACGCCGCGUGAGUGAUGAGGGUCUUCGGAUCGUAAAACUCUGUUAUUAGGGAAGAACAAAUGUGUAAGUAACUAUGCACGUCUUGACGGUACCUAAUCAGAAAGCCACGGCUAACUACGUG
Molecule: ribosomal RNA, 497 nt
Filed under: uncultured bacterium
Lineage: Bacteria
Description: partial 16S ribosomal RNA
Rfam family: Bacterial small subunit ribosomal RNA
Source: RNAcentral